Notothenia coriiceps (black rockcod) is the source of this 411-nucleotide long non-coding RNA. RefSeq lists it as uncharacterized. The record is from RefSeq and is a predicted model, not a curated record. The transcript has 3 exons. Lineage: Eukaryota; Metazoa; Chordata; Actinopteri; Perciformes; Nototheniidae.
GGAUUGACGUGGGAAGGUUGCUUACGUAGUAGAAAUCUGAAAAAUAGCUCCAUAAAUGCAUUAGAUAUAUAUAAACACUAGAUGGCUCAUGGGAGAUUUUCCAGCGUAGCUCACCGGCCGCCAUCUUGCUACAGUCAACAGCUACUCUGGUACGCGCUAGGGUAGCUGUUGUAAGAAGUACCUGACUAUGCCUGACUUUUGUGCAGCCUACGGAUGCUCUAAUCACCGUAGUCUGGAAACAAGAACCAGUGGAAUCACCUUUCACCUGUUUCCCAAAAGAGGAGGCAGUGCAGUUGCCCUAAGAAGGGACGGUUUUGUUUCCUCUGGCAGGACACUGCUCUGCAGUGGGCACUUCAGGAGUGAGGACUUUGACAGGACGGGGCAGACUGUCCGGCUUAAAGAUGGUGUUGU